UAAGGAAUAUUGGUCAAUGGACGCAAGUCUGAACCAGCCAUGCCGCGUGAAGGAUGAAGGUCCUCUGGAUUGUAAACUUCUUUUAUCUGGGACGAAAACGGGAUUUUUAUCUCAAUUGACGGUACCAGAGGAAUAAGCACCGGCUAACUCCGUGCCAGCAGCCGCGGUAAUACGGAGGGUGCGAGCGUUAUCCGGAUUUACUGGGCUUAAAGGGUGCGUAGGUGGGCUUAUAAGUCAGUGGUGAAAUCUCCGAGCUUAACUUGGAAACUGCCGUUGAUACUAUAGGUCUUGAAUUAUCUGGAGGUAAGCGGAAUAUGUCAUGUAGCGGUGGAAUGCUUAGAUAUGACAUAGAACACCAAUUGCGAAGGCAGCUUACUACAUAUAAAUUGACGCUGAGGCACGAAAGCGUGGGGAUCAAAC
RNAcentral lists this ribosomal RNA (420 nucleotides) under uncultured bacterium. Its description in RNAcentral is "bacterial SSU rRNA". It matches the Rfam family "Bacterial small subunit ribosomal RNA", at positions 355 to 773 of the family's 1533-position model. The record is from RNAcentral.